Long non-coding RNA from Mastomys coucha (southern multimammate mouse), 642 nucleotides. RefSeq lists it as uncharacterized. Lineage: Eukaryota; Metazoa; Chordata; Mammalia; Rodentia; Muridae. The transcript is spliced from 3 exons. The record is from RefSeq and is a predicted model, not a curated record.
UGAAUUUUACACUCUUUUAAAAGUACUGAAGAUAGGCCCCGUCAUGGGGUCUUUAAUUCCAGAACUCAGGAGAGAGAGGCCUCUGUAAAUUCAAGACCAGCUAGCGGGGGUUUACAAUGUGAGUCUAGCACAGCUGGGGCUAUUACACAGAGAAACCCUGUCUCAAAAAAACAAAAAAGUACUACAAUUUAAUCUCUUGAGGGACAGGCUUCCGAGGCCCCACCUUUUCCUGAAGACAGAAAGUAGUCAACGGUUUCUGCAGAGGGAGAGCCAUUUCUUCAGUGCCUGAUCUGGCACCUGGGCCUUUGAGAAGAGCAGAGAUGGCCUUGAUAUUAAAGUGAAACAGUAGGUGCCAACAACUAACCCAGACCCAGAAGAAAAGAGGAAGCUGAUUAAACUAUACAGCUUUGGGGAGGGACUGUACUAACUCUUGGAGUAGAUCCAGCAGAAAGAGCCUCCAGGAACUGUUAUGAGAAGGCUGUAGACUAUGUCUCCUAGAAACAGAUGUUUUACCACCUCGCUGUGGGAUUGUUCAUAAAAUAUAAUUGUCUGCUCUGACUUUGUGGAUGAUGAACUAUCAACUCCCCCCCCCCAAAAUAAAAUAAAAUAAAAUAAAAUAAAAUAAAAUAAAAUAAAAUAAAA